ACUCCUCCUGAGGAGGAUCUUCUGGGGCCCAACUGUUACUAUGACAAAUCCAAGUCCUUCUUUGACAACAUCUCUUCUGAACUCAAAACAAGUUCGAGGCGGACGACAUGGGCUGAGGAGAGGAAGCUGAACACCGAGACUUUUGGAGUGUCAGGGAGGUUCCUUCGUGGCCGCAGUUCACGUGGUGGAUUCCGAGGAGGCAGAGGAAAUGGGACAACACGGCGCAACCCCACUUCCCACCGAGCUGGGACUGGCCGGGUAUAAGGCUGCAGUACAAGGUCCUGAAGCAGCCGUGGUGCUGCCCAGAAGAUAAGGACAGAAGGAAAGGCUACAGUCUGCAGAAGUGGACCUUGUUUACCAGUCUGGAACCCUCAUACUGCUACUUAGUUUUGGACUUAACCUAACUUGGACUUGGUCUGAGAGUUAGAACCACUUGGUUUUUGGGAAGUACUUGUAGGUGACCCCUGAAGGUGUCUUGACCUACAUUUCCUUCUUGGUUGCACACAGCCUAAUAGUAAGGUUUUGGUAUUUUGCAAAAAGGUUUCUAUAGGCAAAGGCUCAAUCCUCACUUUGUAACUUUUUUUUUUUUUAAUGACAGCUUUGACUCUUAAAAUGGAACCAAAUUUUAUUUGGCACAUGCAGUGUCCAAAUGUCUCUGCAACCCAUCUGGCCCCUGGUGCUGCUGGUCUGGUACCCCAACUGCUAAAAGUGGGAAGUCUCAGGAGCCAGGCAGG
Molecule: long non-coding RNA, 734 nt
Filed under: Rattus norvegicus (Norway rat)
Lineage: Eukaryota; Metazoa; Chordata; Mammalia; Rodentia; Muridae
Description: long non-coding RNA NONRATT020080
Source: RNAcentral